Molecule: ribosomal RNA, 437 nt
Filed under: Micrococcus sp. S140b
Lineage: Bacteria; Bacillati; Actinomycetota; Actinomycetes; Micrococcales; Micrococcaceae
Description: bacterial SSU rRNA
Rfam family: Bacterial small subunit ribosomal RNA
Source: RNAcentral
GAUGAACGCUGGCGGCGUGCUUAACACAUGCAAGUCGAACGAUGAAGCCCAGCUUGCUGGGUGGAUUAGUGGCGAACGGGUGAGUAACACGUGAGUAACCUGCCCUUAACUCUGGGAUAAGCCUGGGAAACUGGGUCUAAUACCGGAUAGGAGCGUCCACCGCAUGGUGGGUGUUGGAAAGAUUUAUCGGUUUUGGAUGGACUCGCGGCCUAUCAGCUUGUUGGUGAGGUAAUGGCUCACCAAGGCGACGACGGGUAGCCGGCCUGAGAGGGUGACCGGCCACACUGGGACUGAGACACGGCCCAGACUCCUACGGGAGGCAGCAGUGGGGAAUAUUGCACAAUGGGCGCAAGCCUGAUGCAGCGACGCCGCGUGAGGGAUGACGGCCUUCGGGUUGUAAACCUCUUUCAGUAGGGAAGAAGCGAAAGUGACGGUAC